UUUUGGACAAUGGGGGCAACCCUGAUCCAGCCAUGCCGCGUGAGUGAAGAAGGCCUUCGGAUUGUAAAGCUCUUUCGGACGGAACGAAAUGGGCGGGACUAAUACUCCUGUCUGAUGACGGUACCGUAAGAGGAAGCACCGGCUAACUACGUGCCAGCAGCCGCGGUUAAUACUUAGGGUGCGAGCGUUAAUCGGAAUUACUGGGCGUAAAGCGUGCGCAGGCGGUUUCGUAAGCUGGAGGUGAAAUCCCCGGGCUUAACCUGGGAAUGGCCUUCAGGACUGCGAGGCUAGAGUGCGGCAGAUGGAGGUGGAAUUCCACGUGUAGCAGUGAAAUGCGUAGAGAUGUGGAGGAACACCGAUGGCGAAGGCAGCCUCCUGGGCCAGCACUGACGCUCAUGCACGAAA
RNAcentral lists this ribosomal RNA (405 nucleotides) under uncultured bacterium. RNAcentral describes it as "bacterial SSU rRNA". It matches the Rfam family "Bacterial small subunit ribosomal RNA", at positions 362 to 758 of the family's 1533-position model. The record is from RNAcentral.